GAGCCUGACGCAGCGACGCCGCGUGAGGGAUGAAGGCCUUCGGGUUGUAAACCUCUGUCAGGGGGGAAGAAUCCGGAGUCGGUGAAUAACCGACUCCAUUGACGGUACCCCCAGAGGAAGCACCGGCUAACUCCGUGCCAGCAGCCGCGGUAAGACGGAGGGUGCAAACGUUGUUCGGAAUCACUGGGCGUAAAGGGCGCGUAGGCGGACUUGUAAGUCGGGAGUGAAAACUCGGGGCUCAACCCCGAGCCUGCUUCUGAAACUGCGAGUCUUGAGGACCGGAGAGGAAAGUGGAAUUCCUAGUGUAGCGGUGGAAUGCGUAGAUAUUAGGAAGAACACCAGUGGCGAAGGCGACUUUCUGGACGGUUCCUGACGCUGAGGCGCGAAAGCUAGGGGAGCAAACAGGAUUAGAACCCCCUGGUAGA
Molecule: ribosomal RNA, 425 nt
Filed under: uncultured soil bacterium
Lineage: Bacteria
Description: bacterial SSU rRNA
Rfam family: Bacterial small subunit ribosomal RNA
Source: RNAcentral